Molecule: ribosomal RNA, 344 nt
Filed under: uncultured Synergistaceae bacterium
Lineage: Bacteria; Thermotogati; Synergistota; Synergistia; Synergistales; Synergistaceae
Description: bacterial SSU rRNA
Rfam family: Bacterial small subunit ribosomal RNA
Source: RNAcentral
CAUGGCGUGUCGGUCAGCGUCGUGUCGUGAGAUGUUGGGUUAAGUCCCGCCAACGAGCGCAACCCCUGCUGCCAGUUGCCAACGGGUGAAGCCGGGCACUCUGGCGGGACUGCCAUCGACAAGAUGGAGGAAGGUGGGGAUGACGUCAAGUCAUCAUGGCCCUUAUGUCCAGGGCGACACACGUGCUACAAUGGCCGGCACAGCGGGAAGCGAGGCAGUGAUGCCGAGCGGAUCCCUUAAAGCCGGUCUCAGUUCGGAUUGAAGUCUGCAACUCGACUUCAUGAAGCUGGAAUCGCUAGUAAUCGCAGAUCAGCCAAGCUGCGGUGAAUACGUUCCCGGGCCUU